UGGGGAAUAUUGCACAAUGGACGAAAGUUUGAUGCAGCGACGCCGCGUGGAGGGUGUAGGCCUUCGGGUUGUGAACUCCUUUUUCUCGCGAAAAAGGCACAGUUUUGGCUGUGUUGAUGGUAGUGGGGGAAGAAGCGCCGGCUAACUACGUGCCAGCAGCCGCGGUAAUACGUAGGGCGCGAGCGUUGUCCGGAUUUAUUGGGCGUAAAGAGCUCGUAGGUGGUUCGUCGCGUCUGUCGUGAAAGCCAGCAGCUUAACUGUUGGUCUGCGGUGGGUACGGGCGGGCUUGAGGGCGGUAGGGGUGACUGGAAUUCCUGGUGUAGCGGUGGAAUGCGCAGAUAUCAGGAGGAACACCGAUGGCGAAGGCAGGUCACUGGGCCGUUACUGACACUGAGGAGCGAAAGCGUGGGGAGCGAACAGG
Molecule: ribosomal RNA, 421 nt
Filed under: Acidobacteriota bacterium
Lineage: Bacteria; Pseudomonadati; Acidobacteriota
Description: Acidobacteria bacterium partial 16S ribosomal RNA
Rfam family: Bacterial small subunit ribosomal RNA
Source: RNAcentral